UCACUAUAUUUUAUCUACAAGGAGGUAGAUUUUUCUGCCUUAGAAUUUUCUUCAGAAGAUGUAAAGCUGGCUGUUAUGCUGAUUUAUUUCAGAUAACAGCCAAAGACGAUGUGUUUGUUUGAGCAACUGCCCCCAGGUCCAGACUACCUCUCAAAUUAAGUGAAACAAUACUUCUUCACAGUGUCCAAAUAAAUUAGCUAUAAGCCGAGCCGUGGUGGCACUGUGAUUAGAAUGCAGUAUUGCAGGCUAAUUCUGCCGAUUGCCAGCAGUUCGAUCCUGACCAGCUCAAGGUUGAUUCAGCCUUCCAUCCUUCCAAGCUCCACAGUGAUAUAAAGAAUAUGCAGAUUCUUUGAUGAAGAUAUUACUCUUGCUUCAACCUUCAAGGUCUUUUAACAACCUGACAAACCUGCUUUGGAAACAUAUGGCUUGUGGAACCAUGCAUCAAUUGAGUGUUGACCAGCUGGGUUUCUGCUCUGUUAACAGAAAAGGCUAAAAGCUAUCCACAGUUAGACCUGUCCUUCCCAGCUGAUGGAUUCCUAGGUGAUGUGGAAAAAGUAUGUUAAUAUACCAAUUAUAAGCAAAUCCUGCAAUGUAAAUUAAAAGAAGACUGAAAUUCAAAAGUUGUUUAUUUGAAAGUUAAAUUCUACAUUAAUGUUUACAGUAGUACUGAUGUUUACAGAUUCCCACAUGUGAGACAAAGAUUGCCUUUGUAUUGCAUUAUUUCCCUCCUAUUUUUUUUUCUGUUGUCACUAUUGUGAAAAAAAAAUGAUAAAAUUUGCAACUUUACUGGGACUCAGAUAGGGUGAUAAAAUACUAGCACUGAAUGAUUUUGCUGUCUUGCAAUUAGCUCAUAUUUAUUUUCUUCUUUUGUUGCUUGCAUCUAUUGCUCAUUUUUAAUGUUUUUUUCCUUGCUUGUCUAUUACUUCAAACUGGCAAAAGGAUAUUUAUAAAUAUAUAAAUUAACUAAAAUUACUAAGACUUAAAGCUGUGUAAAUAUGCACAACUCAAAUUGCUCCAAAGCAAAUUUCUUCAUUAUCAUAUUUAUGGAGACCCAGAAGUAUAACAUCUUGUGUGAUUUAUACUUAACUACUCUUUAUACCUACUCAGAAACAACUUUCCUUGUCUUCAGUGUGGGUUAUUCCAACUUUAUACAUGCAUAGCAAUGUUUUUAAAAUCAGCCACUAGCUAUGCCCUGUGCAAUAUAGUUAAGUGCGUCUUUUUGUAAACAAAAUAUGCUUCUUUAUAUUUAUUCAAAACAAAAUGCAACCAUUUAAAAUGGAAUUUUUAAGGAGAUGGCUUGCAACACAUUAAACUUAGUAUCCAUCUCUUUCUUUCCUCUUUCUCUUAUUCUCUGACCUGGAAAACUAAAUAUCUCUUGGCUGGACAGCUGUACUUAAGAGGAUGUUCAGGAUUGAAGGUCAGGUAAUAUUGAGGAACUAUAUUUCCAGAUAGCCCCUUUGACACCCAAGCAAGAGAAGGCUACCUGAAAGAGGGCUUCUAAGACUGACUGCAAGAUAUGAAUAGGAACAAAAGAGAAAUAAAUAUAAAGAUAUAUAGUACUCAUGAAAGAUAUUUGACUUCAUAAAACUGUUGCUCUUGGCUGCUCUUAGGUUUAUCUAGUUCAGGGGUCCCCCAAAAAACUCAUGGUCCCUUUUAUGACGUUUCAGAUUGUUCAUCAACCUCCAUCGAUUUUAUUACAUGAAAUAAUUAAUCAGUACUACUUUAACUAAUAGUACUCUGAAUAAGGAUAUUAUAGGUAGAUCUCACUUUGCAGUUGGCCUCUUUAGUAACCCUUUGAAGUUAGGACAAUACUGAAAAAUAGCAUUAUGACCAUUCCUUGUAUUUCCAACUGUCCUUGGGUCACAUGAUCCAUAUUUGGGCAUUUUUCAGCCAAUGGGAAUUUACAACUAUUGCAGUCAAAUAACUUCCUGAAAGAGAUAUCUAGGUGGUUCCCUGAUGCUUCAACUUCAUAAGAUAAAUUCUAAGUAUUCCCAUCAACUAAGUUUGUUGGUUCUUGAUGAUUAUCACCUUUGCUCUGGUUAAAUAUUUUAGCCUCCAACUUUAUUUCUAAUGUUCCAGCUAAAUACAUACUUUGAAAUGUAAUUAUGCAUUAGUAAGCUGAAUUAAUAACAUAGACAGUUCUCUUUCUCUAGAACUAUAAGAAUAUGCGAAAGACAUGUCUCCCUUGUGUUUAUAUGCACAAGGUAUACAUAACUGUAACUAACAAUCUCACUGAAUGACAGAUUUAAGCACACAGGCUAUCUAAUUGUAUUAUGACACAUGGCUAAAUAUACAAAAUGAUUUUAUUGAAAAGUGUGUCUAAGAUGCUAAAUAGUUUGACAGUUCAGUUGAUGAUCUUUCAUCUUCAGAUAUGCAAGUCAUUGUCAAUUACAGAUGUUGACUUCAGAUCAAUUUAUCUAGUCUUUGCUUAUAUAAAUGUACAUCUAUUUAUUAUGUAAGAAAGGAUGUGCAAACUGAAUCUGCUGGAGAAACUAAAUUACUUUAAGUAUGGCUUGGAAGCUUAGGUUUGGCAUGCAGAAACCACUGUAGGCUAACCUAUUGACAGUAUGUGGUAUAAAAAGGAAUAAAAUAAAAUAAUUAUAUUCUUAUUGC
Crotalus tigris (Tiger rattlesnake) is the source of this 2613-nucleotide long non-coding RNA. RefSeq lists it as uncharacterized. The transcript has 4 exons. The record is from RefSeq and is a predicted model, not a curated record. Lineage: Eukaryota; Metazoa; Chordata; Lepidosauria; Squamata; Viperidae.